RNAcentral lists this ribosomal RNA (438 nucleotides) under uncultured bacterium. Its description in RNAcentral is "partial 16S ribosomal RNA". It matches the Rfam family "Bacterial small subunit ribosomal RNA", at positions 28 to 507 of the family's 1533-position model. The record is from RNAcentral.
AACGAACGCUGGCGGCAGGCCUAACACAUGCAAGUCGAGCGAGGACUCCGGUUCUAGCGGCGGUCGGGUGAGUACCGCGUGGGAAUGUGCCCUUCUCUACGGAAUAGCCCUGGGAAACUGGGAGUAAUACCGUAUAGGCCCUUUUGGGGAAAGAUUUAGUGGAGGAGGAUGGGCUCGCGUCGGGUUCGGUUGUUGGGGGGGUAGUGGCUUACCAAGCCGACGAUGGGUAGCUGGUCUGAGAGGAUGAUCGGACACACUGGGACUGAGAUACGGCCCAGCCUACUACCGGAGGGAGCAGUGGGGAAGAUUGCAUAAUGGGCGGAGGCCUGAUGUAGUAACGCCGCGUGCGGGAUGAGGGCAUUCGGGUUGUAAACCGAUUUCGCCUGCGAUGAAGCGUGAGUGACGGUAAUGGGUAAAGAAGCCCCGGCUAACUACGUG